RNAcentral lists this transfer RNA (72 nucleotides) under Ictidomys tridecemlineatus (thirteen-lined ground squirrel). Its description in RNAcentral is "Spermophilus tridecemlineatus (thirteen-lined ground squirrel) tRNA". It matches the Rfam family "tRNA". Rfam says of the family: Transfer RNA (tRNA) molecules are approximately 80 nucleotides in length. Their secondary structure includes four short double-helical elements and three loops (D, anti-codon, and T loops). Lineage: Eukaryota; Metazoa; Chordata; Mammalia; Rodentia; Sciuridae. The record is from Rfam by way of RNAcentral.
CGGGUUGUAGCUCAGUGGUAGAGCACUUGCCUAGCAUGUGUGAGGCACUGGGUUCAAUUCUCAGCAUCACAU